GACGAACGCUGGCGGCGUGCUUAACACAUGCAAGUCGAACGAAGAGCGACGGAAGCUUGCUUCUAUCAAUCUUAGUGCGAACGGGUGAGUAACGCGUAAUCAACCUGCCCUUCAGAGGGGGCACAGUUGGAAACGACUGCUAAUACCGCAUACGAUCUAAUCUCGGCAUCGAGGAUAGAUGAAAGGUGGCCUCUACAUGUAAGCUAUCACUGAAGGAGGGGAUUGCGUCUGAUUAGCUAGUUGGAGGGGUAACGGCCCACCAAGGCGAUGAUCAGUAGCCGGUCUGAGAGGAUGAACGGCCACAUUGGGACUGAGACACGGCCCAGACUCCUACGGGAGGCAGCAGUGGGGAAUCUUCCGCAAUGGACGAAAGUCUGACGGAGCAACGCCGCGUGAGUGAUGACGGCCUUCGGGUUGUAAAGCUCUGUUAAUCGGGACGAAAGGCCUUCUUGCGAACAGUUAGAAGGAUUGACGGUACCGGAAUAGAAAGCCACGGCUAA
This 500-nucleotide ribosomal RNA is filed under the name Veillonella parvula. RNAcentral describes it as "bacterial SSU rRNA". It matches the Rfam family "Bacterial small subunit ribosomal RNA", at positions 28 to 500 of the family's 1533-position model. The record is from RNAcentral. Lineage: Bacteria; Bacillati; Bacillota; Negativicutes; Veillonellales; Veillonellaceae.